Molecule: ribosomal RNA, 253 nt
Filed under: uncultured bacterium
Lineage: Bacteria
Description: partial 16S ribosomal RNA
Rfam family: Bacterial small subunit ribosomal RNA
Source: RNAcentral
UACGUAGGGGGCGAGCGUUGUCCGGAAUCAUUGGGCGUAAAGAGCGUGUAGGCGGCUUGGCAAGUCUGACGUGAAAGCCCGCGGCUCAACCGCGGAUUGUCGUUGGGAACUGCCUCGCUAGAGUCCGGAAGAGGAGAGCGGAAUUCCUGGUGUAGCGGUGGAAUGCGCAGAUAUCAGGAAGAACACCCGUGGCGAAGGCGGCUCUCUGGGACGGUACUGACGCUGAGACGCGAAAGCGUGGGGAGCGAACAGG